Long non-coding RNA from Mesocricetus auratus (golden hamster), 943 nucleotides. RefSeq lists it as uncharacterized. The record is from RefSeq and is a predicted model, not a curated record. Lineage: Eukaryota; Metazoa; Chordata; Mammalia; Rodentia; Cricetidae. The transcript is spliced from 3 exons.
AAGAGAACAUGAAACCCAGUCCAGGGGCUGGGGUCAGAAUGGAUGAACAAUACUUUUCCAGAUACCAUUCCCAAAGGCCAGAAAUCCUUGAAAUCUGAGCCAGAGUCCCAGGCUCAGUCAUACAGCAUGGUCCAUAACCCGGGAAAGUCAGAGACUAGCACAUCUCCCUAAUAAGUAGCCAGGGACUAAUCUCCAGACACCCACAACCCAAGGGACUCCAAAGUUGACAGGCAUUUGGGACCGGUACUGAAGCCACGAGGAAACUCAUCCACCAGCCAUCAACUUGCUAAGAAUACAUAACUGGGAAGGCCUAGGGACAACUUCCAGCAAGCAGGCCCAUGCUGCUGCGACAGGAGGAGAGGAAGCUACCUCCUGGCCACGCAACACUCACUAUGACAGUGAGCAAGGAAAGAAGACGAUGAGAGGACCUGGCUCACAGGUGGCUUUCAAUGGAAAAGAAACUGUAGUCUUGGACCCCAGCUGACAAGGACCACAAAGCAUCAGGCAGAAAGAGCCCCAGACUAAGAGGAUAAACGUUAGGCUCCGCAAGCAUCGAGGUCUGUCACGUGCAAGGGUCGUCACAUGAAAGCCUUCUGAAGGGCACUCAGCCCACUCUGUUCCCUGUAACAGCGGCCACAUUCAACCCUCUGCCCUCUCUGAGGGCAGCAGAAUAAAGUGCCAUCCUACCAGAAACCGUGCCAUUUGCUGCCUCCCAAAUGCCAGCGUGUUUAAGUCCUUUCCCCCUAGGGCUUUCCCUUCAGCUGUGCUGGAGAAACGGAGAGAAAACAGAACUGCUAAAGCGUGAGAGAUGUUACAUCACGGCCUUGGUCAGGACUUUCCAGAGUGAGCUGGAAAGUCCAGGGGUAGGGGGUCUCCCCAACUGGGGAAGGACUCCCCAAGAUCUCAGAGGAUGAAUCUUCCUGACCAUAAAAUAAAAUGUUCA